Molecule: long non-coding RNA, 406 nt
Organism: Oreochromis aureus
Lineage: Eukaryota; Metazoa; Chordata; Actinopteri; Cichliformes; Cichlidae
Source: Ensembl
UGACAUCUGUGAUUGUGAAAGAAGAUGAUGAUGCCAUUUUGCCCUGUUCCUCGGCACCAAUGAGAACAUUGAGUCAAUGGUGUUUGACUGGAAGAAGGAAGAAACAGUCCAGGUGUUCGUGUAUAAUAAGGGUGCCCAUUACAAUGAUCAAAAUGAGCAGUUCAAAAGUCGAGUCACACAUUUUCCAGAAGAGCUGAAGCACGGCAAUGCCUCCAUAAGAAUAAAAGAAACUAAGCGGGAGGACAAAGGAAACUACACCUGUUUUUUUCCAAACCGCAGUAAGACAUUCAAAGUUGAGCUUGUUGUUGAACCAUGGAAGAUUGUAGCUGUUGUUGCUAUUGUUCUUGCUGUUGUUCUUCCUGUUGUAGUUGGGAUUCUUGUCUGGUGUUACAUCAAGAAUAAAAAA